UGUCUCACUCAGCUGGGCCCCGGGGACUUGGUUCACGCUCGCAGGCUCUGAACAAGAAGGCACCGUGUCCCCACUGUGGCCAGUGACCAGAGUCCCUGGCCACAUGGUGUGGCCGGAGGCAAAUGACGCUUGCCACCACCGAAGGUGGCAUCACAGAGGAGCAAGGCUGUCCGCUCAGGUUCAGGGUUAAGGAAGCCGCAUCGCCUUCAGCCUGUGUCCUGGGGGGAGCAGAGGGUUAUUUUCUGGAGACGGCCUUGGGCGGAGUUCCGUCCAAGUCUGACUGUAGGCCUUGUUAGAGGCCUGUGGCUAGUUUAGAACAAUCUAGAGAUCAUGGAGACAGUUUAGAGGGGAGAAGUGAGAAUUGUUAGAAUCUGAAACUGGGUUGUGGGAAAUGGAGUUAGUCCCUGAGGAGCUCUCGGCCUGGCGAGGUCCCAGGGAGGACCGCCCAUCCUACAAAUGGGUACAGCGCAAAGACGCCCAGAAACGGCUUGCUGCGAGUUGCAUGUGGGGUGUGGCUGACCUGCCCUCCCGGGGUUGACAUGAGCGUUCACUGCCUGUGCAAGUGUGAACCUCCGCUGUUCACCCACCUGCUCCUCCAGAGGAUAGAUGGGGAGGGGGAGGCAGGAGAGGCUCCCCACUGCCUGGUCCGUGGCCGCAGGGGCCGCCCAACGGCGCCUGCCGUUUUUGCGCCUUUCCCAAUUCUGACUCUCCCUUCCAGUCAGGACAGUUCAACGAGGACAUGAUCCCCACUGUGGGCUUCAACAUGCGCAAGAUCACCAAGGGAAACGUGACCAUCAAGGUGCGCGCGGGCCGGGGGCCGGCAGUGGGCAGAAAGGAGCCCGGG
Molecule: long non-coding RNA, 844 nt
Filed under: Capra hircus (goat)
Lineage: Eukaryota; Metazoa; Chordata; Mammalia; Artiodactyla; Bovidae
Description: lncRNA (ENSCHIG00010026707.1)
Source: RNAcentral